CUCUUGCUAAAAGAAACACUGUUUCCUUUAUAGUUACCAUGUGGAAAUCUGCAAGUGAUGCAUCUUGAUGGAGUUCCCAUACUCCCCCAACUUUUAUUUUAGUUAGAGGCGGUUCUGACCAGUGAGAUAAAAACAAAAGUCUAUUGUAAUUAUUUUGGGAAACUCUUGAUUUCCCAGUAAAUGGAACAUAUAUGAUUGAUGCCCUUCAAAUUCUGGUGUGUCCAGUCAGCAAAAUGAUUUCCAGAAAAACCUGCUGAUUACCCUACAGUGAGAGAGAAUACUUCUUUCAGAGAUUCCCAGCAGUGUUUUUGAAAGGGGAGGUUAGAAGAAGAUAUUUUUAGGGUUUUAGGAUCUGAAAUGGCAAGGCAUAUGACAUGAUAGUUCUGGAUUGAUGAACAUUGUGAGGUGAGAGUCUUGAAGUAAGCAUUGAUAAGCAAGAUUCAGUCUCCAAAGGUUAUCUUAUCAAGGAACAAGUAUUUCCUGAAACAAAUAGUUAACUUAGUUUUGCCUAAUCUCAGUAUUAUUUAGCACAGAAAUGUGAAUAUAUGCUUCAUCUUAGAAUUGGCUAGCACAAAUAAAGGAAAGCAUAUUUAUUCUCAGGAUUGUUUAGUAUAAGGAUAGGAAUGCAUGUCAACUGAGUUCCCACUACCUUUAUGAUGUCAUAUCUGCAACUGCAUCAGAAUGAUGUGAUACACAAGGGGAGGGCCACGAGACAACUAAUCAAAAAUAUUCUGCCACUGAACGAAUUACACUUCUAUAUCUGGAGUUCUUAUGUGAGAAGGAGAAAGCCUAACUUAUUUAAGGUUCAACAGAGUUCAGCAAGUUCUUGUGUUCACUCUAACACAAUAUACACUGUGAAACUGCUUUAUUUCAAAUUAGAUGUGACAGAAUAAUAGGAGUAGAAAUGACUCAACUGGCCUUUGUGACAUGGUUGGUUACUGGAAAAGGGACAAAGUCUGUCUAUUCCAUUGCAUCAUUCUUCUGGAACUUUGAUAAUAGCCAAUUCUACUGCCUUAACAGCAUCAUUGCUUGCAGUUGGUAAGUUUGCCUUAAUAUGACUUUUCUACCAAAUAUUUGCAACAGAUUUCUGUUUACCUGAAGCCUUGCUGUGUUCUUGUUUUUCACACAUUUUGAAUUUUUGAGAUGCCUUCACAGCUCUCUAUGGAUGAAUAACUAAUUCCAAUUGUUAUGCUGUAUUUUGCCUAAACAGAUAGGUCCUUGAGCCUUUUUCAAAUCAAACAUAAAACUACAAACACCCCAAUAGAAAAAUUGACAGAACAGGCAAGUUACAAUAAACAUGAAAGGAUUUAACUUCA
RNAcentral lists this long non-coding RNA (1316 nucleotides) under Felis catus (domestic cat). RNAcentral's name for it is "lncRNA (ENSFCAG00000047140.1)". Lineage: Eukaryota; Metazoa; Chordata; Mammalia; Carnivora; Felidae. The record is from RNAcentral.